CGGCGAUGCUNUGGGUCUGCCGCCCGCAAUGUCGUGAGAAGUCCACUGAACCUUAUCAUUUAGAGGAAGGAGAAGUCAUAACAAGGUUUCCAUAGGUGAACCUGCAGAAGGAUCAUUG
Molecule: ribosomal RNA, 118 nt
Filed under: Lepidocaryum tenue
Lineage: Eukaryota; Viridiplantae; Streptophyta; Magnoliopsida; Arecales; Arecaceae
Description: partial 18S ribosomal RNA
Rfam family: Eukaryotic small subunit ribosomal RNA
Source: RNAcentral